Long non-coding RNA from Gorilla gorilla gorilla (western lowland gorilla), 557 nucleotides. RefSeq lists it as uncharacterized. The transcript has 2 exons. The record is from RefSeq and is a predicted model, not a curated record. NCBI's taxonomy places the organism in Eukaryota, Metazoa, Chordata, Mammalia, Primates, Hominidae.
CCCGCAUUUGUGGUCUCCUCUCUUGGCUUUGGAGCCCCCCUCCCUCUGUCUCUGUACGGGGGUGCCUUCUUCUUUUCUUCUUCUCCCUUCUUUCUUGCCUAUUAAACUCUCCACUUCUUAAUACCACUACACGUGUAUCUGUGUCAUUUUAUCCAAUUUGCAUGAGACAAGAGCCCUGGUGCUCCUCCACUCAUCAGAGCUGUAUCAUUUUGGUGCAUGGGCCAGGAAAAUCCAAAGUACAGCCUUCGUUGGAGUGGGAGACCUUGCCAUCAUGCGAGGCUGGGAAAACUUCUGAGGCAACUGAGAAUUUCUGGUCAGGGCACGCUCUGGCAUGAUUCAAAGGCCUCUGGACCGGACGCAGCCUCCGACAGCCGGGUGUUGGCAGAGAAUCCUCAAUUAUCCUGUGGCCAAACUUUCUUUCUGUCUCUAUCCAUGGUCUCUUACCCUCUCUGUGUGUCUAAUGUGCAGGGAUCUUUACAGUUCAGGGAAACAGGUCUGCUAGAAGAGAUUGUGAAUCACGGCAGCCAGUAACUCAAUAAACGUUUCUCUAUGGUUUC